CUGACAGUUUGGCUUCCCUGUUCCAGGUGGCAAAGCCUGUGGGGUAUUCACCUACCUGCUGCAUGAAGGCAGCAUGGAGGGACUGUGGUGGAUUAUCUGCAAAGAUGGCCCAAAUUCUCUCAUCCCUGCAGGUACAUACAAGGUUGUUGCAUGGCAUAAGUAAAAUGACAGCUAUAGAAUAUGUGCAACUUUUCAGUGACAAAGACCUGUGAAGCAUUGACAGUACCACCUAAUGAGGUUUCACGAUAACUAAGUAUCACAACCAGUUUACAGACCAGAAAACUGAGACACAGGAAGGGUUGGUGACUUGAGCAAGGUGCAUCAGCUGAAAAGUUGCUAAAACCGCUGUGAGAUUCUGGCUAAGAAAAUUUCAUGAGAAGUUUUACAGAAAAAUGUGAACAGAAGAAAGAACUAGAUAUAAAUUUGAAUGGCCUGGAGUGCAGUGGAGCAAUCUCAGCUCACUGCAGCCUCUUCCUCCCGGAUUCAAGUGAUUCUCCUGCUUCAGACUCCCGAGUAGCUGGGAUUACAGUUUUGAGAAGAAUGCAAAGAAGAAGGGAAGAGUGAGCCUCUCUUUUCCCAUCGUUACCCUCCAUUGUCCUCUUGACACCCUGCUUUUGCAGACAGAGAGUUUGAGACCCUCUCCCAGGAGCCAAGGAGAGGGGAACAGCUGGCUUCACAUCAUCUUUCUAUUCAACAAGACACAAAAAGCUGAAGCCAGGAUGAUAGAAAAGCAACAAAGAAGACACGGUCCUUACUCAUUUCCCUUCCCGCUUC
This 774-nucleotide long non-coding RNA is filed under the name Pongo abelii (Sumatran orangutan). RNAcentral's name for it is "lincRNA". The record is from RNAcentral. Lineage: Eukaryota; Metazoa; Chordata; Mammalia; Primates; Hominidae.